RNAcentral lists this ribosomal RNA (477 nucleotides) under uncultured bacterium. RNAcentral's name for it is "bacterial SSU rRNA". It matches the Rfam family "Bacterial small subunit ribosomal RNA", at positions 34 to 558 of the family's 1533-position model. The record is from RNAcentral.
AGCUGGCGGCAGCCUAACAAUGCAAGUCGAACGAAGUAGUAAUACUUAGUGGCAGACGGGUGAGUAACAUGUAGGUAUCUACCCUUUGGCCUGGAAUAACACGAGGAAACUUGUGCUAAUACCGGAUAAGUCUUUACGGAGAAAGCUUUAUGCACCAUUGGAUGAGCCUGCACUUGAUUAGUUUGUUGGUGGGGUAAUGGCCUACCAAGACUGUGAUCAAUAGCUGAUUUGAGAGGAUGAUCAGCCACAUUGGGACUGAGACACGGCCCAAACUCCUACGGGAGGCAGCAGUGGGGAAUCUUGCACAAUGGAGGAAACUCUGAUGCAGCGAUGCCGCGUGAGUGAAGAAGGCCUUUGGGUUGUAAAGCUCUUUCGUCGGGGAAGAAAAUGACUGUACCCGAAUAAGAAGGUCCGGCUAACUUCGUGCCAGCAGCCGCGGUAAUACGAAGGGACCUANCGUAGUUCGGAAUUACUGGG